Small nuclear RNA from Myodes glareolus (Bank vole), 103 nucleotides. Lineage: Eukaryota; Metazoa; Chordata; Mammalia; Rodentia; Cricetidae. The record is from RefSeq and is a predicted model, not a curated record.
UGCUCAGUUUAGCAGCGUACUACUAAAAUUGUAAUGAUAAGAAAGAUUUUCAUGGUCCCUCUACAAGGAUGACAUGCAAAUUCAUGUAGCUAUCUCUAUUUCU